RNA transcript from Cornus florida, 2745 nucleotides. It is a transcript of the gene named B3 domain-containing transcription factor VRN1-like, with no coding region annotated. The record is from RefSeq and is a predicted model, not a curated record. NCBI's taxonomy places the organism in Eukaryota, Viridiplantae, Streptophyta, Magnoliopsida, Cornales, Cornaceae. The transcript has 9 exons.
GGUUAUUUAAUCAUGAAAGUACUGGUAGAUUAUAAUUGUGUGCAAGGAGUAACAGUGCAAUGAAAAAUGAAAGGAUAAAGAGGUACAGUAAUGGAACCACACAAGCGGAAGCGGAAAGUGAAACCCAACGGAAGCGAUUGCCGCCGCUCAAAAUCUCCGGUGAGGGCAUCGUCAAAAUUCUUCAAGAUAAUAUUACCCUCCGUUAUUAAUGAGAAGAAGCUGACGAUCCCUAAAAAGUUUGUCAGGAAAUAUGGUGAUGAACUCUCUGCUGUUGCCAUGCUCACUGUUCCCACUGGCCACGUUUCACAUGUGGGAUUAGAGAAGGCUGACAAGAUGCUUUGGUUUUGUGAUGGUUGGCAACAAUUUAUGGAACGUUACUCAAUCAGUUGUGGGUACUUUUUAGUCUUUAAAUAUAAAGGGAAAUCAAGCUUUGAUGUUCUUAUAUUUGAUUUGACUGCCACCGAGAUCCAGUAUUCAUGCACUAUUCGCAGUAGUUCUGAAGAAAACAAUAAUGGAAAAUUUUGUCAAUUAUCUGAUGAGGACGAAAUCGAAGAUGAUGACUCUGUUGAAAUUUUGGGGUCCUUAGGUUUUGUUGGAUCUUCAUCUAAAAUUAGUCUGGGACUUGACAAAAAGGGUAAAAGUGCAGCUUUGCUGGAGAGCUCGAAACCCACUCCUCGAUGUCUAACAAGAACCAAAAGAUAUAAAAAAGAUCAGGAGCAAACAAUUGAAUUAGAGAAUUGGCAUGGAGCGUGUGGAAGAAAACCAAGCAGAAGCGAAACGUCAAACUGGCAUGAUUCUUUAUUGGAUAAAUCCAAGAGAAAGAACCAGUUUGUCACUAAGAAUAUUCAGAAUUUACAAACAUCGGCUCCAACAGUUCGUGAUAGGGGUUUUGAUCAGUUGAAUGAGAGUGAACUUAAAGACAAAACAUAUAGAAUUGAUGUAGAGGAGCAGCAUCCAACAAAAAUUGCAAAUAGUUCACAUGUCGCGACUCAAAGAAAUAGAGAUACAAGUUAUCAGACCACAAAUCAAAGAAUUGUUUCUAGGGGAUCAGUGAUAAACGAAGCAAGAGAGAGGGCAACUAAUGCUGCAAGAAUGUUUAAGCCUGAAAAUCCUUUCCAUAUGGCUAUAUUGCGUCCAUAUAAUGUAAACCACCACUUUUUCCUGAAUAUACCACUUGAAUUUGCCAUGAAGAUGAAGUCUUUGCUUGGUGUUUCAGAUAUUGUCAAGCUUCAGGUUUCUGAUGGAAGAGAGUGGCAUGUCCAUUAUAUUCAUAAAAGAAGAAGGCCAGUCGUAAGAUUAUGCAAAGGUUGGAGAACCUUUGUAAAGGAAAAUAAUUUGAUGGAAGGAGAUAUUUGUGUCUUUGAGCUGAUCAAGGUUAUGGAUUUAGUGCUAAAAGUGUCCAUAUUUCGCACUGCGGAGUAUGCAGGGCAACCAAACCUACCUCAUCAGUUUGAUGAAAGCAUAUAUUCAAAGACUACAAAUCAAAGAACUGUUUCUAAUGGGCAAUUGGUAAAACACGAAUGGUACUGUGAAGAAAUUAUUGGUAUUAACACUUGUUCAACGACUUGUUCGACAGGGGGACCAUUGAUAAACCAAGCAAGAGAGGGGGCAAUUAAUGCUGCAAGAAUGUUUAAGUCUGAAAAUCCUUUCCAUAUGGUUAUAUUGCGUCCAAAUAAUGUAAACAAUCGGUUUUCCUUGAAUAUACCAUCAGAAUUUGCCAUGAAAAUCAAGUAUUUGCUUGGUGUUUCAGAUAUUGUUAAGCUUCAGGUUUCUGAUGGAAGAGAGUGGCGUGUCCGUUGCAUUCAUGAUAGCGGUGGUCGACAGGCAAUAUUAAGCAAGGGUUGGAGAAUGUUUGCAAAGGAAAAUAAUUUGGUGGAAGGAGAUGUUUGUGUCUUUGAGCUGAUCAAGGUUCUGAAGGAUCUUGUUAUACAAGUUUCCAUAUUUCGCGCUGUGGAGUAUGCAGGGCAAGUAAACCAACCUCUGGAUUACAGUCUCGCAAAUUAGUAUUUUGGUGGUGUUAAGGAAAAGUCACUGUUUGAACUGGAAGGUGGUUUUUGGAUUACGGACAAUUCAAAAGAUUGUCUGUGGGUGGCCUGGUUUCAGAGGAGGCAUCCUAACUGUUCGAGGUAAAGACAGAAUGGCAGUGUUGGAGAACUUCUCUUCCUGCUGUUUCCUGGUCUUCCUUGAGCUGGUGUGGUUGCAGACGGAGGAAAUCUGUUACUGCUUGCAUUAUUUUCUGGAACAAGAACCUGUCCUUUUUCAACUUGCAGAAGAGAGGCCUUACUCUUACUUUGAUUUUUCAUCUUUGUUUUGGAGGUGAGGAUUGCAAUGAUCACCUGUUCUAUUGUUACUUUUAACAGUCAGUCUCGUCAGCACAGAAUUGCUAGAAGGCUAGUUGUAACUCUUCUCCGGAGUAUCUGGACUGAGUGAAAUGCUCGUCUGCACGGGAACAACCCUAGGGCUGCUGAAGACAUUGCAAAAUCGGCCUGGGGGGAAGUUCUGGAUAUUUCAAACUUUUAGUUGCAAGAAUUGAGGUUCAUUUUGUAAUAUUAUGUAUACCACCGUGGCUGUAGUUGCCUACUUCCACUUCCUUUGUUACUGGAAGUGGUGUUUCUCUGUGUCUUCUGUUUUGUAUUGAGAGGGUAUGCCCUCUCUUAUUGCCUGAUCUUUUAAUACAAUCAUUUCAUUUAGGAAAAAAAAAAAUCGAAAUAAGGUAUCUACAGUUCCAAGAUCUAAUCAAAUUUC